Balaenoptera ricei (Rice's whale) is the source of this 177-nucleotide small nuclear RNA. RefSeq annotates it as U4atac minor spliceosomal RNA. The record is from RefSeq and is a predicted model, not a curated record. The transcript has a single exon. Lineage: Eukaryota; Metazoa; Chordata; Mammalia; Artiodactyla; Balaenopteridae.
ACCAUCCUUUUCCUGGGGUUGCGCUACUGUCUGAUGAGCGUGUAGCGAGGGCAGUACUGCUAACGCCUAAGAAAAAAAACAAAAAACAAAAAAACCUACAGCAGGGACUUCCCUGGCGGUCCAGUGGUUAGGACGUGGCGCUUUCACUUUGGUGGGCCGGGUUCAAUCCCUGGUCUG